CCCUUAGAUGUUCUGGGCUGCACGCGCGCUACACUGAUGCGCUCAACGAGUUUUAACCUUGCCUGGAAAGGUUGGGUAAUCUUUUUAAAACGCAUCGUGAUGGGGAUAGAUUAUUGCAAUUAUUAAUCUUCAACGAGGAAUUCCUAGUAAGCGCGAGUCAUCAGCUCGUGCUGAUUACGUCCCUGCCCUUUGUACACACCGCCCGUCGCUCCUACCGAUUGAAUGGUCCGGUGAAAUCUUCGGACUCUGUGUUUAUUGAUUCGUUUCAAUUUACUACUGGAGAAAGUUGAGUAAACCUUACCAUUUAGAGGAAGGUGAAGUCGUAACA
Molecule: ribosomal RNA, 328 nt
Filed under: uncultured eukaryote
Lineage: Eukaryota
Description: partial 18S ribosomal RNA
Rfam family: Eukaryotic small subunit ribosomal RNA
Source: RNAcentral